UACGUAGGGCGCAAGCGUUAUCCGGAAUUACUGGGCGUAAAGAGCUCGUAGGUGGUUUGUCGCGUUGUUCGUGAAAACUCACAGCUUAACUGUGGGCGUGCGGGCGAUACGGGCAGACUGGAGUACUGCAGGGGAGACUGGAAUUCCUGGUGUAGCGGUGGAAUGCGCAGAUAUCAGGAGGAACACCGGUGGCGAAGGCGGGUCUCUGGGCAGUAACUGACGCUGAGGAGCGAAAGCAUGGGGAGCGAACAGG
RNAcentral lists this ribosomal RNA (253 nucleotides) under uncultured bacterium. RNAcentral describes it as "partial 16S ribosomal RNA". It matches the Rfam family "Bacterial small subunit ribosomal RNA", at positions 524 to 776 of the family's 1533-position model. The record is from RNAcentral.